GUGAACGCUGGCGGUAGGCCUAACACAUGCAAGUCGAACGGCAGCACAGUAAGAGCUUGCUCUUCCGGGUGGCGAGUGGCGGACGGGUGAGGAAUACAUCGGAAUCUACUUUUUCGUGGGGGAUAACGUAGGGAAACUUACGCUAAUACCGCAUACGACCUACGGGUGAAAGCAGGGGAUCUUCGGACCUUGCGCGAUUGAAUGAGCCGAUGUCGGAUUAGCUAGUUGGCGGGGUAAAGGCCCACCAAGGCGACGCUCCGUAGCUUGUCUGAGAGGAUGAACAGCCCCACUGGAACUGAGACACGGUCCAGACUCCUACGGGAGGCAGCAGUGGGGAAUAUUGGACAAUGGGCGCAAGCCUGAUCCAGCCAUACCGCGUGGGUGAAGAAGGCCUUCGGGUUGUAAAGCCCUUUUGUUGGGAAAGAAAAGCAGCAGGUUAAUACCCCGCUGUUCUGACGUUACCCAAAGAAUAAGCACCGGCUAACUUCGUG
This 491-nucleotide ribosomal RNA is filed under the name uncultured bacterium. RNAcentral describes it as "partial 16S ribosomal RNA". It matches the Rfam family "Bacterial small subunit ribosomal RNA", at positions 29 to 507 of the family's 1533-position model. The record is from RNAcentral.